GAACCGUCCAAACGUUAUUCGGAAUCACUGGGGCUUAAAGGGGUGCGUAGGCGGCUUGGCAAGUUGGGUGUGAAAUCCCUCGGCUCAACCGAGGGAACUGCGCUCAAAACUGCCAAGCUAGAGGAAGAUAGAGGUGAGCGGAACUAAUGGUGGAGCGGUGAAAUGCGUUGAUAUCAUUAGGAACACCUGUGGCGAAAGCGGCUCACUGGGUCUCUUCUGACGCUGAGGCACGAAAGCUAGGGUAGCGAACGGGAUUAGAUACCCCGGUAGUCCUAGCUGUAAACGAUGAGCACUAGGUUGGAGGCUCCUCCAUAGGCUUCCGACCGAAGCGAAAGUGUUAAGUGCUCCGCCUGGGGAGUAUGGUCGCAAAGGCUGA
This 376-nucleotide ribosomal RNA is filed under the name uncultured organism. RNAcentral describes it as "partial 16S ribosomal RNA". It matches the Rfam family "Bacterial small subunit ribosomal RNA", at positions 527 to 897 of the family's 1533-position model. The record is from RNAcentral.